This 82-nucleotide transfer RNA is filed under the name Salmonella enterica. Its description in RNAcentral is "tRNA-Thr". The record is from RNAcentral. Lineage: Bacteria; Pseudomonadati; Pseudomonadota; Gammaproteobacteria; Enterobacterales; Enterobacteriaceae.
UUCGAUAGGUAUUGAUUUUGUUAGAUCAAUUUACGCAUUCGUAAUGCGAAGGUCGUAGGUUCGACUCCUAUUAUCGGCACCA